This is a long non-coding RNA of Lathyrus oleraceus (garden pea), 815 nucleotides long. RefSeq lists it as uncharacterized. The record is from RefSeq and is a predicted model, not a curated record. NCBI's taxonomy places the organism in Eukaryota, Viridiplantae, Streptophyta, Magnoliopsida, Fabales, Fabaceae. The transcript is spliced from 3 exons.
GACACGUUGAGUCCAUGUCCCACGUUCAGGGUUCCAAGAACGCGAUCCAAGGUUUCAAUUUUUCACUUCAAAAAUUCCAUAGCAAAACGGAAGCUCCCUCUCCUCUCGAAUCGGAUUCGCGAAUUUGGAUUGUAUCCCAUAACCAAUACCGAAAUUGCAAUGACGCCAACACGAAAUCGAAAUAGAUUGAAGCAAGAAGAAUAAAGACUCACCGGUUCAGGUCGAGAAGUUGGUUGAAGAAGUUGGAAAGAAUGCCUUUUUGUUAGAGGGAGGUUAAUGAUUGUUGAAGAAAAAAACCUUGGAAAACUUUCUUGCUGCAGGGCAUUCAAGACUGGUUUGGAGGUUUCGUGGAGAGAUUCCCGGAUUGGUUUGGCGAUGACUUAUUCGGUUAAAUGAGGCAAAUGAUACUGCAGAAAAAUGACCCGGAUGGUAUAACCUCAACUCCCCAUUUAAAACCUGUUGCUGCUUACUGUUGUCGCCAACUGUGUCGGCUUUUGCACAUGGCUGUUUUUUUUGCAGGUUGUAGAAAAUGUGAGGCUUGAAUCAUGUUUGGGAAAGGAUGGUUAUGGACCAUUGCAUUGGCUUGCUUAGAAUUAGAUUUUUGCGGAAUGCUACAGCCUUUGUGGGACAUUAUUGUAACGGCUUAUGUCAUGAAUUUGAGAUGAUUGUAAAGUUGGAAAUGUAUGUAUGUAAAUGGAAUGAAUGGUUGUAAAGGUUCAUUGGAAAUGAAUAUGAAUUUAGGUAAUGGCCUAUGUUGUAACUUUGAAAUUGAAAUAUUGUAAUUGGAAUGUUAAUGAAUGAAAAUUAUUAUGGUA